AUUGAGCGCUGGCGGCAUGCCUUACACAUGCGAAUCGAACGGUAACGGGCCUUCGGGUGCCGACGAGUGGCGAACGGGUGAGUAAUACAUCGGAACGUGCCCGAUCGUGGGGGAUAACGAGGCGAAAGCUUUGCUAAUACCGCAUACGAUCUACGGAUGAAAGCAGGGGACCGCAAGGCCUUGCGCGGACGGAGCGGCCGAUGGCAGAUUAGGUAGUUGGUGGGAUAAAAGCUUACCAAGCCGACGAUCUGUAGCUGGUCUGAGAGGAUGAUCAGCCACACUGGGACUGAGACACGGCCCAGACUCCUACGGGAGGCAGCAGUGGGGAAUUUUGGACAAUGGGCGCAAGCCUGAUCCAGCCAUGCCGCGUGCAGGAUGAAGGCCUUCGGGUUGUAAACUGAUUUUGUACGGAACGAAAAGCCUUCUUUUAAUACAGGAGGGUCAUGACGGUACCGUAAGAAUAAGCACCGGCUAACUACGUG
Molecule: ribosomal RNA, 482 nt
Filed under: uncultured bacterium
Lineage: Bacteria
Description: partial 16S ribosomal RNA
Rfam family: Bacterial small subunit ribosomal RNA
Source: RNAcentral